GUAGGUGGCAAGCGUUGUCCGGAAUUAUUGGGCGUAAAGCGCGCGCAGGCGGUUCUUUAAGUCUGAUGUGAAAGCCCACGGGCUCAACCGUGGAGGGUCAUUGGAAACUGGAGAACUUGAGUACAGAAGAGGAAAGCGGAGUUCCACGUGUAGCGGUGAAAUGCGUAGAGAUGUGGAGGAACACCAGUGGCGAAGGCGGCUUUCUGGUCUGUAACUGACGCUGAGGCGCGAAAGCGUGGGGAGCAAACAGGAUUAGAUACCCUGGUAGUCCACGCCGUAAACGAUGAGUGCUAAGCGUUAGGGGGUUUCCGCCCCUUAGUGCUGCAGCUAACGCAUUAAGCACUCCGCCUGGGGAGUACGGCCGCAAGGCUG
This 372-nucleotide ribosomal RNA is filed under the name uncultured organism. RNAcentral's name for it is "partial 16S ribosomal RNA". It matches the Rfam family "Bacterial small subunit ribosomal RNA", at positions 527 to 896 of the family's 1533-position model. The record is from RNAcentral.